Long non-coding RNA from Peromyscus eremicus (cactus mouse), 660 nucleotides. RefSeq lists it as uncharacterized. The record is from RefSeq and is a predicted model, not a curated record. Lineage: Eukaryota; Metazoa; Chordata; Mammalia; Rodentia; Cricetidae. The transcript has 2 exons.
GUUGUUUGGGAGUGUUCUAGUGUAUUCCAGUUCUAGUUCUAGCACAGUCACUCAGAAUUCCUUCCCAUAAUUCUCUUAUUUUAAUUUAAUCCAGUUUCUAAUUUGACUCUUCAAUGAGUGGAGAACUGAGCAGAUACCUCCUCAUCAAAUCUUUCAGAGGCUAAAGAUGGAACUUAUACCCCCUGGCCUUCACCUCCUCUGCACCUGUUGUCUGUACCUCCUCUGAAGAGAGUUUUGGAAACUUUUACUGGGAGGGGUGGGUAUUCUUUGCUCUGGAUCCUGGUGUUUCUGUCAUCCUCUCGGGCAGAGUGACCUAUACAAAGCUAGGGUUUGAGUGAGUACUUAAGUAAUCAAUGUGCACUCAGGAGGGCCUGUGAUUACAUCAUUUCUCUGCGUGUCAUACACACCAUUAAUGAGUCUCACUGUGGGCAGCACCUAGCAGAAGCACCACCACUGAUACGCAGAGAGAAUGUCAUCAUGUGAACACGAGGAAGAGGUGACAAGUAUAUAAGCUAGUGUGUCAUCAAAGCACCAGUAUCUGGAAGAGAGGCCUGCUGCAGAUCUUCCCUCAUAGCCCUCCCAGGAACCUGGACUGAUCCACACCUUGAUUUUGGACUUGUAGCUUCCAGACACCUGAGAAAAAUAUAUUUGUUAUGUGCA